This 90-nucleotide transfer RNA is filed under the name Atopobium sp. Its description in RNAcentral is "tRNA-Ser". It matches the Rfam family "tRNA". From Rfam's summary of the family: Transfer RNA (tRNA) molecules are approximately 80 nucleotides in length. The record is from RNAcentral. Lineage: Bacteria; Bacillati; Actinomycetota; Coriobacteriia; Coriobacteriales; Atopobiaceae.
GGAGAGUUGGCAGAGUGGCUAAUUGCACCUGUCUUGAAAACAGGAGAACACGUUAGUGUUCCAGAGGUUCGAAUCCUCUACUCUCCGCCA